Molecule: ribosomal RNA, 490 nt
Filed under: uncultured Actinomycetes bacterium
Lineage: Bacteria; Bacillati; Actinomycetota; Actinomycetes
Description: bacterial SSU rRNA
Rfam family: Bacterial small subunit ribosomal RNA
Source: RNAcentral
UGGGGAAUCUUGCACAGUGGGCGAAAGCCUGAUGCAGCAACGCCGCGUGCGGGAUGAAGGCCCUAGGGUUGUAAACCGCUUUCAGUAGGGAAGAAAAUGACGGUACCUACAGAAGAAGGUGCGGCCAACUACGUGCCAGCAGCCGCGGUGACACGUAGGCACCAAGCGUUAUCCGGAUUUAUUGGGCGUAAAGAGCUCGUAGGCGGUUUGGUAAGUCGGGUGUGAAAACUCUGGGCUCAACCCAGAGAGGCCACCCGAUACUGCUAUGACUAGAGUACGGUAGGGGAGCGGGGAAUUCAUGGUGUAGCGGUGAAAUGCGCAGAUAUCAUGAGGAACACCAGCGGCGAAGGCGCCGCUCUGGGCCGUAACUGACGCUGAGGAGCGAAAGCAUGGGUAGCAAACAGGAUUAGAUACCCUGGUAGUCCAUGCCGUAAACGUUGGGCACUAGGUGUGGGUCUCAACCGACGAGAUCCGCGCCGUCGCUAACGCU